AACUAGAAUCUCCUUGCCUUUCGGCCCUCAUCCAUCAAUGUCUCCGGUGAGUAUCGGCCCAGCUCGAGGAACUUACGAGUAUACUCUGAUACUGUCAUGUUUCCCUGAACUAGUUGAACAAACUCCAUUUUCUUUAGGUGUCGGAGGUGCUCAGGGAGAUACUUUGCAUGGAAGGCCGCAAGGAACUGCUCCCAAGUGACUGGUGUAGGCAGGGUGGUCUGCUUGAGCUCCCACCAACGUCCUGCUUCCCCUACCAGCAUGUAGGAAGCAAGGGCAGCUCUCUGCUCAGGAACUACUCCCAAGAUCCUGAAAGCUCUCUCAGUCUCCGCCAGCCAGUAUUGGGCCUCUUCAAAAGAGGAUUCUCCUGCAAAGGUGGAGGGGUUCAGUCUCCUAUACCUCUCUAUAUAGCCCGGGUCGAUCAAGGAAGGAGCGAGGUCCCGUGGAGGAGGGACUGGACCUGGCUGGGGAUAGACUGGGGGGUCCU
RNAcentral lists this long non-coding RNA (484 nucleotides) under Carica papaya (papaya). RNAcentral describes it as "long non-coding RNA (CPAP_LNC014025)". The record is from RNAcentral. Lineage: Eukaryota; Viridiplantae; Streptophyta; Magnoliopsida; Brassicales; Caricaceae.